Non-coding RNA from Cordylochernes scorpioides, 72 nucleotides. NCBI's taxonomy places the organism in Eukaryota, Metazoa, Arthropoda, Arachnida, Pseudoscorpiones, Chernetidae. The record is from the annotation of a GenBank genome assembly.
UCCAGGGUAGCCUAGUGGACAUGGCAUCUGCCCGGUAAGCGUACGUUGUGGGUUCGAUUCCCGCCCCUGGAC